RNA transcript from Capsicum annuum, 2581 nucleotides. It is a transcript of the gene named phosphoglucomutase, chloroplastic, with no coding region annotated. NCBI's taxonomy places the organism in Eukaryota, Viridiplantae, Streptophyta, Magnoliopsida, Solanales, Solanaceae. The record is from RefSeq and is a predicted model, not a curated record. The transcript is spliced from 24 exons.
CACGUGAAGCGGGUGACAUGAGCCAUAAGAAGUUGUGCCGAUAAGUCGGGAAAAUCUGAAAACCAGAAAAGCAUGUGGCAGUAAUGCAAUUCCAUUAAACCUUUCUAGAUUUUAAAAAAUACACCCACCAGCAAAUCCCUACGUGCUCCUGAUACUGGAAUUAAACUCCUUGCCUCUUCUGUAACAAGAGAUAUGGCGAUGGAAAGUGCAUUUACAUUAACUAGGCUUUCAACCCCAUCGUUGUUGUGUAGGAAUAGUUCCUCUCAUCAUCAUCAUCAUCAUCAUCAUCGUCGUCACCUUAAAUCCUUCUCAUUUCCCCCCGAAUUGGCAUCCUUCAAAUACUCUUUCAGGACAAUUACACAUGCUCCUUUCGUUGUCAAUGCCUCCUCUUCCUCUCCAUCAUCUCCUUCUACAACGCUCGCCGAAUCCCAGGGUCUCAAGAUUAAUUCAAUUCCUACAAAACCUAUUGAAGGUCAAAAGACCGGUACCAGUGGUCUACGCAAAAAGGUUAAAGUGUUUAUGCAGGAAAAUUACCUUGCCAAUUGGAUACAGGCAUUGUUUAAUUCUUUGCCAUUAGAGGAUUAUAAGGAUGGACUCUUGGUCUUAGGAGGUGAUGGUCGAUAUUUCAAUCGAGAAGCUGCACAGAUAAUCAUUAAAAUUGCUGCGGGCAACAGUGUUGGUAAAAUAUUGGUUGGCAAGGAUGGUAUACUGUCCACUCCAGCUGUGUCUGCUGUGAUACGAAAGAGAAAGGCAAAUGGUGGCUUUAUAAUGAGUGCAAGCCAUAACCCUGGUGGUCCCGAAUAUGAUUGGGGUAUCAAGUUCAACUACAGCAGUGGCCAACCAGCACCUGAAUCAAUCACUGACAAGAUCUAUGGAAACACCCUUUCUAUUUCUGAAAUAAAAAUUGCCGACAUUUCUGAUGUUGAUCUUUCUCAACUUGGAGUUACAAAAUGUGGAAAUUUUAGUGUGGAGGUGGUCGACCCUGUGGCUGAUUAUUUGGAGCUAAUGGAGAAUGUAUUUGAUUUUUCACUCAUUCAAAGUCUUGUUUCACGACCAGAUUUCAGGUUUGUAUUUGAUGCCAUGCAUGCAGUUACAGGGGCUUAUGCAAAGCCCAUUUUUGUUGACAAACUUGGAGCUAGCCUUGAGUCUAUUGCAAAUGGAGUGCCACUGGAAGAUUUUGGACAUGGUCAUCCAGAUCCUAACCUUACGUAUGCUGAGGAUUUGGUGAAUAUCCUGUAUGGAGAGAAUGGACCUGACUUUGGUGCUGCAAGCGAUGGAGAUGGUGAUAGAAACAUGAUUCUUGGAAGAAGCUUUUUUGUUACUCCAUCUGAUUCUGUUGCAAUUAUUGCUGCCAAUGCCCAAGAUGCUAUUCCAUAUUUCCAGUCCGGACCCAAGGGUUUGGCUCGAUCAAUGCCCACUAGUGGUUCUCUAGAUCGCGUUGCCCAAAAGCUAAAUCUCCCCUUUUUUGAGGUGCCAACUGGUUGGAAAUUCUUCGGUAAUCUAAUGGAUGCUGGAAAAUUGUCAAUCUGCGGCGAAGAAAGUUUUGGGACUGGUUCUGACCAUAUCCGUGAAAAAGAUGGUAUAUGGGCUGUUUUAGCUUGGCUUUCAAUACUUGCAUAUUGGAACAAGGACAAAAAAUCAGGGGAGAAAUUGGUUUCUGUUGCUGAUGUUGUGAAGGAGCACUGGGCCACUUAUGGAAGGAACUUCUUUUCGAGAUAUGACUACGAGGAAUGUGAAUCAGAAGGAGCAAAUAACAUGGUCGAAUAUCUUCGGGAUUUGAUUUCUAAAAGCAAGGCUGGUGAUAAGUAUGGAAGUUACAUCCUAGAUUUUGCUGAUGACUUCGCCUAUACUGAUCCAGUUGAUGGAAGUGUCGCAUCCAAACAGGGGGUUCGGUUUGUUUUCAGUGACGGGUCCCGCAUCAUCUUUCGACUUUCGGGUACUGGAUCUGCUGGUGCAACAGUCAGAAUAUAUAUUGAACAGUUUGAGCCAGAUGUAUCCAAACACGAUAUGGAUGCUCAAAUUGCGUUGAAACCAUUGAUAGAUCUCGCUCUUUCCAUAUCAAAGCUAAAGGAUUUCACAGGAAGAGAAAAGCCAACUGUCAUAACAUAAGGGCAUAGAUAUCUGCAACUACAAUUGCUUAACGGAAGUCUUCUUGUGACAGUUGUAGUAGAUGAAAUAGAACAAAGGAUCGCUCAUGAAGAAAUGAGGUGAGGUGAUCUUCAAAUCUUGGAUUUGCCUCUGGUUAAAGAUGUUAUGAUAUGAGACCGCAUAAUAGUAAAAUUAGUUCCUGGGGACAUUGUCCCAUCAGCGCCACGAUGUUCCAUCUCAGCCUAAUGGCUGCAACUUUCUCCUAAAGGAACAUGGCUAGGUCAUGCUGCUGGUUGCUAGUCUCUUUGCAUUUUCUGGGGAUCCGGCACUUGUAAUGGGAAAGGGUCAAUUCAACUAUUCUCUCUAGUGUAUAAUAGUGUAUAAUGUAGUUCCACUAUCGUAUUUUUCCAAUAUUAUGGUCCCCACCAUCAUCAAACAUCAAUAUUGUACAACUUGGACAAGAAAGAGCAAACCACCCCCUCUUGCAUUUGUU